UGGCUUCAUCAGGAAAUGGAAAUGCUAAACCUUUGGAAGGAAUACUAAUCCUUAGAGAGAGUUGUCUCCUAGCUUUAGAGCAGAUAAUUACUUUUUCAACUGCCUUACUGAUAAUUUGAUUGUUCAAAAAGUAGAAGAACAACAAAGAGGAACUAUUUUCCAGAUCUGAUUCUUACCAACAAAAAUGACCUGAUUACUUGGAUUCAAGUGAUGUUGUCACCACCGCCUGACUUCUCAGGAAGGCUGAGAGCCCUUAGGGGAGAUGGGGAGCCAAAGCAGACAUCGUCAGCAGGUUCCCUCUGGGCUGAAGACUCUUAUACCUCAUCCAUAGUUCCCCUACUGACUGUGACCCUCCACACUAUGUAUACACAUGAUGAGUAACAUGGAAGGGAAAAGAUCAGAAUCAAAUGGAACAAUGGAGAAAGAUAAGGUGAUGUGAUAUGCCAUUAUGAAUGCUCUAUCCUGACCUAUUCAAGUUUUCUAUUAAUAUCAAAAUAUGACAAAUGAAUAAAGGAAUAGAAAUAAGCAUGAAAACAUUUUUACUUCCUAUAUACAUUUAAGCAAUAUCAAAGGGUUGCCACAAUGCAGAAACCAAAAAAACCUCAAACCACAAACACUCGAUCUUCUUGCAAAUUAGAAAGACAUGACUGACAAGAACAGCAGUUUAGAAUCCCAAGUCAUUUGUGAGCCAUGUGAAUUUGGCAAGUCAUUCAACCUUUCUUAGUUUUCUCAGCCAUAAAAUAGGUAAGAGAACCAAUGUUAA
Antechinus flavipes (yellow-footed antechinus) is the source of this 763-nucleotide long non-coding RNA. RefSeq lists it as uncharacterized. NCBI's taxonomy places the organism in Eukaryota, Metazoa, Chordata, Mammalia, Dasyuromorphia, Dasyuridae. The transcript has 3 exons. The record is from RefSeq and is a predicted model, not a curated record.